Molecule: long non-coding RNA, 305 nt
Filed under: Actinidia chinensis (golden kiwifruit)
Lineage: Eukaryota; Viridiplantae; Streptophyta; Magnoliopsida; Ericales; Actinidiaceae
Description: long non-coding RNA (ACHI_LNC002175)
Source: RNAcentral
UUUCGGACUGAUAAUGUUCAAGCCUCUAUUAUUGGUUGGAUUUUGCUUCUUUUGUUUUGAGGUAGGCCUUGGGUGAAGCGGAUUUAGCUUGAUUCUCUUGUUCUCAAAAAGGAAAGAACAAGAAUUUGAGCGUCCGUAAAUAGUGACAUCCAGAUCAAAAAGCCAGGGUCGAUCCAAAAUUAUGUGUCCAACAUCCAUAGGAACCACAUCGCACCAAAUUUUGUCACUAUAGGAAAUGAUCUAAAUUGGGACAAGACAUCUUUAUUUUAUGAAAAUUGACGACGUGUCAACCCAAGAGACAUGGU